GACGAACGCUGGCGGCGUGCUUAACACAUGCAAGUCGAACGGAAAGGCCCUGCUUUUGUGGGGUGCUCGAGUGGCGAACGGGUGAGUAACACGUGAGUAACCUGCCCUUGACUUUGGGAUAACUUCAGGAAACUGGGGCUAAUACCGGAUAGGAGCUCCUGCUGCAUGGUGGGGGUUGGAAAGUUUCGGCGGUUGGGGAUGGACUCGCGGCUUAUCAGCUUGUUGGUGGGGUAGUGGCUUACCAAGGCUUUGACGGGUAGCCGGCCUGAGAGGGUGACCGGCCACAUUGGGACUGAGAUACGGCCCAGACUCCUACGGUAGGCAGCGGUGGGGAAUAUUGCACAAUGGGCGCAAGCCUGAUGCAGCAACGCCGCGUGCGGGAUGACGGCCUUCGGGUUGUAAACCGCUUUCGCCUGUGACGAAGCGUGAGUGACGGUAAUGGGUAAAGAAGCACCGGCUAACUACGAG
RNAcentral lists this ribosomal RNA (468 nucleotides) under uncultured bacterium. RNAcentral's name for it is "partial 16S ribosomal RNA". It matches the Rfam family "Bacterial small subunit ribosomal RNA", at positions 28 to 507 of the family's 1533-position model. The record is from RNAcentral.